UGCUACAGCCAUGCCACCUUGAACAAACCUGAUCCCAUCUGAUCUUGGAAGCUAAGCACAGCCGAGCCUGGUUAGUACUUGGAUGGGAGACCACCUAGGAAGACUAGGUGCUGUAGGCA
Molecule: ribosomal RNA, 119 nt
Filed under: Pteropus alecto (black flying fox)
Lineage: Eukaryota; Metazoa; Chordata; Mammalia; Chiroptera; Pteropodidae
Source: RNAcentral